CACAAUUUAGAAAAAAAUGUUUAUCUACAGCAAUACUGAUGAAUAUCAAAAACAUGAAUGAAAGAAGUCUCUGGGAAAGAGUGCAUACUUUGCAAUUCUGUUUUUAAGAAGAAAAAGGCAAGGCAGAGUUAAGGCCUGGUGAAAACAGUGUGUGGAAGUAAGGACUGAGGAGAGUAAGGAAACUCGGGUAAAAAUAUGUAACUUGACAAGGGUUAGGGUUCCACAGGUGUCUUAGUUCAGACUGCAAGCAAAAUACCAUAAACUGGAUGACUUAAACCAUGAAUAUUUAUUUCUCACAGUUCUGGAGGAUUGAAGUUCCAGAUUAGGGUGCCAGCAUGGUUGGGUUCUUGGUAGAGUACCUCUUCCCUCUCCUUUGUAUUCUCCGUAUAUCCUCUCUUUGUAUCCGUAUAUGGCUGAGAGAGUGCUAGUCCUUCUCCUUAUAUGGGUACUAAUCCCUUCAUUGGGCUCCACCCUUAGUACCUAAGUACCUCCCAAAGCCCCGCCUCCAUCACAGAAUGUGUCUGGGGAGUUCAAACAUUCAGUCCAUAGUAACAGGCAUAUGCAGUUCUUACAGCUCAUCAAAUAGAACUCUUAAGGUCUCUGCAUUCUACUUUAUGAAAAAUUUGCCUCAGAAACUAAAGCACUAUAAACAAAUACUGAAUUCUAGUUAAACAGGAGUGAAGUAUACAAUUAUUUGUAGUUUACUUAGGUAAAAAAGUGGAUUCAUGGUUUGGUAGAGGAAUGGAUAGGAAGAGAAACCAGUGCUUUGUGGAAAAAUGGAGGAUUCAAGGCUGAGGCAGGAUGAGUUUGGACUAUUAUUAUCCUAGAAGGCUACAAGAGUUCUGUCAGAAGGACUCAGGAGCUUAUCUGAAGAGCUUCCUGCUGGCUAAAGAAGGGACAGCUGCAAGUACUCCCACCGUGGCCAAUUCAGACUAUAAGCCGAUGUCAGUAAUGGGAAAUGGGGAAGAAAUGCACAUUAGCACACCAUUCUAUCAUAUUUCUAUCAUAAACACAAUAGCUACUUGCUCCCAAAGAGUGACUCGCUUCAAAUCUUCUUGCCAAUUCCACUGGUGUAUCUCCACGUUAAAAUCAAAACCAAAACCAAAAAGCCUUGUCAAGCGGAGAAAGACAACUAUCAUAUGA
This 1143-nucleotide long non-coding RNA is filed under the name Mustela putorius furo (domestic ferret). RNAcentral's name for it is "lncRNA (ENSMPUG00000024910.1)". The record is from RNAcentral. Lineage: Eukaryota; Metazoa; Chordata; Mammalia; Carnivora; Mustelidae.